ACAUGGAGAGAGCAAGAACAGUUACAAGAAAGCGAAGCAGAGAAAAACACGAGAAGAGAUGUAAUUACAAGAGUAACGUUCCAAAGUAUUUUUGUAAGUUAUAGUGCUGUAGAAAUUAGAGCAAAAGACUGUAAACCAGCGAACGUCGUAUGUGUGUACUGUGAGUAGUGAAGUAAAACGUCGACACAUUAGCCGAUGUUGUGAGUUAGCCUUUGCAGCUAGUUAGCCUAGCUAGCUGCCUACAAGGGAGUCCUCUGAACUGCCCAUAAAGUGAUUGGACUAUUCGGCUAGUGCUUUGAACUGCUUCAAAAGUGAUUGAAUUGCUCAGAUAGUGCUUUUAACUGCUCCAAAAGCGCUGGGACAGCCCGGAUAGUGCUCCAGGUGACCAGGAUAAAGCCUGGUAGCCCCUCUGGCGAUGAGGGAGACAGAGGACUCCAUCUGUCGGGCCACUCCUGUCCGCCUCGGCUCGCCACGGUCAGCCACCUUCCCGCCAGUUUAUUCCACCAUGCUUGAUUGUGUAACAUCAGGACUCGGAGACUAACGCUGCUAUUCAACGAAAAGGAAGACCUUCUUCUGUGUAGUGCAGGCGGCACAUGAGGCAGCAGGUACGACGUUGAAUCUCAGCCGGUAAUCGAGAUGCUGUGAUAAGCUUUAAUUUCAUUGUUUUACAGUUUUAAAUGAACCUUUGUUCAAUAAAUGCUAAUCUUCUCCAUCACUCCUGUUAUCUAACACUGUCAAAGUCCUUACAUUCUCAAUUCUCAAGCCAAUCAGUCCUUGGAUGCCAGAGAUGUUUAAUGAUAAUGAUUUAAUUACAAUUAUAUUUAAUUACUGUCAUUCUGUCCUUCCACCUCCCGAUAACCACCGCAACACAACGACCUGCAGGAUGUCCAGAGAGAUUCAACGGAGACUUUCCAUCGACUAGUUGCUGGCUUUGCUGCACCAGCGUCUAGACUCCAGGGGAUCCUGUCCUACCUCCUAUCUUCACAUAGAUCUACGCCUAAUGAGCAUUUUUCACAUCAUUAGAAUCUUAUCACCAAGUCUUUUUUCUGCUGCUAACCUAAAUAUUGUCAUACACUUUCUAUUGAUCUCGAUUGACCUUACUGAAGUGUUGGCAGAGACAGAACAGCACAUUUCCAAUUAUAUUCAGCCAUGUGUUUAAUAGUGCUGAUUUUUUACAAUGCUGUGGGACACGUGGUAUUUUGUUUACUUGCAACACAAGCCAUUGAUUCAAGUCUGCGUAAGGAGCUUGUGCUGUUUUGUGUGCCUAUUUGAAAUGAAGUGGAAAGCGUGCCCACCCGAAUCAAACUGGCACUGUGCCAGUUGGGUUUUAGAGCGCUGCUAUCAAUUAGACCUCUGCUCUUGUUGUGCUCAAGUUGUGAACACAUUGACAUAUCAUCACCCUUCAAGCUGAUAUGAUGAACUUGUUAUUAAACAGUUGCCUAUUUACACA
Thunnus maccoyii (southern bluefin tuna) is the source of this 1450-nucleotide long non-coding RNA. RefSeq lists it as uncharacterized. The record is from RefSeq and is a predicted model, not a curated record. The transcript is spliced from 2 exons. Lineage: Eukaryota; Metazoa; Chordata; Actinopteri; Scombriformes; Scombridae.